Long non-coding RNA from Oreochromis aureus, 226 nucleotides. RefSeq lists it as uncharacterized. The transcript has 3 exons. The record is from RefSeq and is a predicted model, not a curated record. NCBI's taxonomy places the organism in Eukaryota, Metazoa, Chordata, Actinopteri, Cichliformes, Cichlidae.
GGUUUGGGUGGAGGACAGUCAGAGCCUGCCAGGCCUGACAUCACUCAGGAGCCGUACCAGCAGGUGGGGCCUCAGCAGCAGCAGCAGCAGCAGCAGCAGGCCUGCGCCUGUGAGCUCGCAGAGUUUGUGGCCUGUGCCCUGGGCGACCUCAAACUCUGCGAGGGAUCCAGAGAGGCGCUCAAAAGGUGCAUGUCUGCUAAUGCCGGGCUCCACCAUCCCCACCCUC